CCCUAGCCCCGAUAGCAGUGGAAAUUCUUUUGUGCCGAACCCCGGCACAAAAGAUUGGAACGGAUAACGAGAAGAGUU
RNAcentral lists this small RNA (78 nucleotides) under Flavobacterium aquidurense. RNAcentral describes it as "Flavo-1 RNA". It matches the Rfam family "Flavo-1 RNA". Lineage: Bacteria; Pseudomonadati; Bacteroidota; Flavobacteriia; Flavobacteriales; Flavobacteriaceae. The record is from RNAcentral.